This 461-nucleotide ribosomal RNA is filed under the name uncultured bacterium. RNAcentral's name for it is "partial 16S ribosomal RNA". It matches the Rfam family "Bacterial small subunit ribosomal RNA", at positions 338 to 795 of the family's 1533-position model. The record is from RNAcentral.
CCUACGGGUGGCAGCAGUGAGGAAUAUUGGUCAAUGGGCGCAAGCCUGAACCAGCCAAGUCGCGUGAGGGAAGACGGCCCUACGGGUUGUAAACCUCUUUUGCCGGGGAGCAAGCCUGAGCACGUGUGCCCAGGCGGAGAGUACCCGGAGAAAAAGCAUCGGCUAACUCCGUGCCAGCAGCCGCGGUAAUACGUAGGUGGCAAGCGUUGUCCGGAUUUACUGGGUGUAAGGGGCGUGUAGCCGGGCUGACAAGUCAGAUGUGAAAUCCGGGGGCUCAACCCCCGAACUGCAUUUGAAACUGUUGGUCUUGAGUAUCGGAGAGGCAGGCGGAAUUCCUAGUGUAGCGGUGAAAUGCGUAGAUAUUAGGAGGAACACCAGUGGCGAAGGCGGCCUGCUGGACGACAACUGACGGUGAGGCGCGAAAGCGUGGGGAGCAAACAGGAUUAGAUACCCUUGUAGUC